This 538-nucleotide long non-coding RNA is filed under the name Physcomitrium patens. Its description in RNAcentral is "long non-coding RNA (PPAT_LNC009111)". The record is from RNAcentral. Lineage: Eukaryota; Viridiplantae; Streptophyta; Bryopsida; Funariales; Funariaceae.
GAUGAGAGAGAGGAAGAAACGGCCAUUACUGUGAUAGUGUGAGCCAGGGUAAGCUUGGUGCUACCUCUUUUCUUUUGUUGUUAUGUUCUUUGAAAUAAGAGUAUUGAGAGUUUCUGAAUAUUAUGAAGUGAAUCAUGGAAUGAAAGUGUGAUUGAAAUUAUAUGUUAUUGAAUGAGAAGAAGAGAGAUUGAAUGCUGAAAUCUGAAUGUAGUUCAGCAGAAAGAGUGAAUCUGUGGUUGUGUGAAACACUGUAAUGUGAAUGGUAGUUAUGUGUGAAGAAUUCCAGUAAUUGGAAUGAGGGUAAUUGUGUGCUGAAGCUGUGAUGUUGCGGUAUUACAGUUGGAGGUUAUAAGAGUGAAGAUAUAUUGGUGGAAAUAAUAGUUAUUGGUAUGACUGAAUUGUUGUAAGGAAGAAAUUGAUAAGGUGAAAGGAGAGAUUAUAGUUUCCUUGUGUACUUAGACAAUGGAAAUAGAGACGAUACAUUGGAGGUAAUUAAUUGUGUGACCCUAACGUGAACGCUUAAGCAACUAGUCACUCC